Molecule: long non-coding RNA, 464 nt
Filed under: Elaeis guineensis (African oil palm)
Lineage: Eukaryota; Viridiplantae; Streptophyta; Magnoliopsida; Arecales; Arecaceae
Description: long non-coding RNA (EGUI_LNC039664)
Source: RNAcentral
GGAUUCACUUUUCUAUUUUGCUAGCUUGCCACUAUAUGUUGCUAGACGUCACUGGUGGAUCGUGAGAACUCACUAAAAUCAUUUUCGGAUCAACGAUCUUUGCUGAGGUAAGUUGGAAUCGUUUCAGUCCAUCGAAAAGAGUUUCGAUGAUACUGUGAUGGAGAUCACGAUAUGUCUCACUAUCAAACAGAAUAGAACCUGAGGAGUCACAUACAAAAAGAGCUUAACCUGAUCAAUGGCUUGGAUUAUAUUUGAAUUAUCAAUUAGAUUGAUAGUUUGAAUAUUAGAAACUGCUAAUUUGUAACCGUUACAGUUUUGACAACUACUAAUUGUUAGCGCAAGGACUUAAUUGCAAGUAUUAUAAUUUUUUUGAGGCUGAUUAAAUUAUAAAUUAAAUUUUAAUUAAUUUAAUUCAGAUUUAAUUUAAUUAGACUUAAUUUAAUUUAAUAUUAAUUGGAUUCAAU